CCCUCAUAUCUGUGGGGUCUGUGGGCUCAGUUCCUCUUUUUCCUGUAGGAUCUGUGGGAUCUGCUCUCCUUCUGCCUGUAGGAUCAGCUCCUCCUCCUGUAGGGUCUGUGGGGUCAGGUCCUCACCCUUCCUGUGGGGUCAGCUCCCCUUAUACCUGUAGGUUCAGCUCUUCAUCCCUCCUGUGGGAUCUGUGGGGUCAGCUGCCCUCAUACCUGUGGGGUCUGUGGGGUCAGCUCCCCUUAUUACCUUGUGGGCUUUGUGGGGUCAGCUCCUCUUUUUUUCCUGUA
Molecule: long non-coding RNA, 287 nt
Filed under: Zonotrichia albicollis (white-throated sparrow)
Lineage: Eukaryota; Metazoa; Chordata; Aves; Passeriformes; Passerellidae
Description: lncRNA (ENSZALG00000002752.1)
Source: RNAcentral